GGGGAAUAUUGCACAAUGGGGGAAACCCUGAUGCAGCGACGCCGCGUGGAGGAAGAAGGUCUUCGGAUUGUAAACUCCUGUUGUUGAGGAAGAUAAUGACGGUACUCAACAAGGAAGUGACGGCUAACUACGUGCCAGCAGCCGCGGUAAAACGUAGGUCACAAGCGUUGUCCGGAAUUACUGGGUGUAAAGGGAGCGCAGGCGGGAAGACAAGUUGGAAGUGAAAUCUAUGGGCUCAACCCAUAAACUGCUUUCAAAACUGUUUUUCUUGAGUAGUGCAGAGGUAGGCGGAAUUCCCGGUGUAGCGGUGGAAUGCGUAGAGAUCGGGAGGAACACCAGUGGCGAAGGCGGCCUACUGGGCUUUAACUGACGCUGAGGCACGAAAGCAUGGGUAGCAAACAGGAUUAGAUACCCUGGUAGUCCAUGUCGUAAACGAUGAUUACUAGGUGUGGGGGGUCUGACCCCCUCCGUGCCGGAGUUAACACAAUAAGUAAUCCACCUGGGGAGUACGGCCGCAAGGUUGAAACUCAAAGGAAUUGACGGGGGCCCGCACAAGCAGUGGAGUAUGUGGUUUAAUUCGACGCAACGCGAAGAACCUUACCAGGUCUUGACAUCCAACUAACGAGGUAGAGAUACAUUAGGUGCCCUUCGGGGAAAGUUGAGACAGGUGGUGCAUGGUUGUCGUCAGCUCGUGUCGUGAGAUGUUGGGUUAAGUCCCGCAACGAGCGCAACCCUUGUGAUUAGUUGCUACGAAAGAGCACUCUAAUCAGACUGCCGUUGACAAAACGGAGGAAGGUGGGGAUGACGUCAAAUCAUCAUGCCCUUUAUGACCUGGGCUACACACGUACUACAAUGGCCGUAAACAGAGAGAGGCGACACCGCGAGGUGAAGCGAAACCCUAAAAACGGUCUCAGUUCGGAUUGUAGGCUGCAACCCGCCUACAUGAAGUUGGAAUUGCUAGUAAUCGCGGAUCAGCAUGCCGCGGUGAAUACGUUCCCG
RNAcentral lists this ribosomal RNA (999 nucleotides) under uncultured bacterium. Its description in RNAcentral is "bacterial SSU rRNA". It matches the Rfam family "Bacterial small subunit ribosomal RNA", at positions 356 to 1376 of the family's 1533-position model. The record is from RNAcentral.